UGACGUUUUUCGGAAUGUAAAGUGCUUUCAGUCGGGAAGAAGUCAGUGACGGUACCGACAGAAGAAGCGACGGCUAAAUACGUGCCAGCAGCCGCGGUAAUACGUAUGUCGCAAGCGUUAUCCGGAUUUAUUGGGCGUAAAGCGCGUCUAGGCGGCAAGGAAAGUCUGAUGUGAAAAUGCGGAGCUCAACUCCGUAUGGCGUUGGAAACUGCCUUACUAGAGUACUGGAGAGGUAGGCGGAACUACAAGUGUAGAGGUGAAAUUCGUAGAUAUUUGUAGGAAUGCCGAUGGGGAAGCCAGCCUACUGGACAGAUACUGACGCUAAAGCGCGAAAGCGUGGGUAGCAAACAGGAUUAGAUACCCUGGUAGUCCACGCUGUAAACGAUGAUUACUAGGUGUUGGGGGUCAAACCUCAGCGCCCAAGCUAACGCGAUAAGUAAUCCGCCUGGGGAGUACGUACGCAAGUAUGAAACUC
Molecule: ribosomal RNA, 475 nt
Filed under: uncultured bacterium
Lineage: Bacteria
Description: bacterial SSU rRNA
Rfam family: Bacterial small subunit ribosomal RNA
Source: RNAcentral